Podarcis lilfordi (Lilford's wall lizard) is the source of this 72-nucleotide non-coding RNA. Lineage: Eukaryota; Metazoa; Chordata; Lepidosauria; Squamata; Lacertidae. The record is from the annotation of a GenBank genome assembly.
GGGCCAUAGUUCAAUGGUAGAGCAUGUGCUUUGCCUGUAGAAGGCCUCUGGGUUUAAUCCCCAGUGGCAUCU